Molecule: ribosomal RNA, 465 nt
Filed under: Vreelandella stevensii
Lineage: Bacteria; Pseudomonadati; Pseudomonadota; Gammaproteobacteria; Oceanospirillales; Halomonadaceae
Description: partial 16S ribosomal RNA
Rfam family: Bacterial small subunit ribosomal RNA
Source: RNAcentral
CCUACGGGGGGCUGCAGUGGGGAAUAUUGGACAAUGGGGGGAACCCUGAUCCAGCCAUGCCGCGUGUGUGAAGAAGGCCCUCGGGUUGUAAAGCACUUUUAGUGAGGAAGAACGCCUGGUGGUUAAUACCCAUCAGGAAAGACAUCACUCACAGAAGAAGCACCGGCUAACUCCGUGCCAGCAGCCGCGGUAAUACGGAGGGUGCGAGCGUUAAUCGGAAUUACUGGGCGUAAAGCGCGCGUAGGUGGCUUGAUAAGCCGGUUGUGAAAGCCCCGGGCUUAACCUGGGAACGGCAUCCGGAACUGUCAAGCUAGAGUGCAGGAGAGGAAGGUAGAAUUCCCGGUGUAGCGGUGAAAUGCGUAGAGAUCGGGAGGAAUACCAGUGGCGAAGGCGGCCUUCUGGACUGACACUGACACUGAGGUGCGAAAGCGUGGGUAGCAAACAGGAUUAGAUACCCCGGUAGUC